AUACGUAGGGGGCGAGCGUUGUCCGGAAUUACUGGGCGUAAAGGGUGCGUAGGCGGCGAUGCAAGUCCAUUGUGAAAAGCCCGGGCUUAACCUGGGAGGUGCAGUGGAAACUGUAUGGCUUGAGUGCAGGAGAGGGAAGUGGAAUUCCUAGUGUAGCGGUGAAAUGCGUAGAUAUUAGGAGGAACACCAGUGGCGAAGGCGACUUUCUGGACUGUAACUGACGCUGAGGCACGAAAGCGUGGGUAGCGAACAGGAUUAGAUACCCUGGUAGUCCACGCCGUAAACGAUGGAUACUAGGUGUAGGGGGUAUCGACCCCCCCUGUGCCGGAGUUAACACAAUAAGUAUCCCGCCUGGGGAGUACGGCCGCAAGGUUGAA
This 377-nucleotide ribosomal RNA is filed under the name uncultured bacterium. RNAcentral's name for it is "bacterial SSU rRNA". It matches the Rfam family "Bacterial small subunit ribosomal RNA", at positions 523 to 898 of the family's 1533-position model. The record is from RNAcentral.